CAGCCGCCGCGGUAAUACGGAGGGUGCAAGCGUUACUCGGAAUUACUGGGCGUAAAGCGUGCGUAGGUGGUGGUUUAAGUCCGUUGUGAAAGCCCUGGGCUCAACCUGGGAAUUGCAGUGGAUACUGGGUCACUAGAGUGUGGUAGAGGAUAGUGGAAUUUCCGGUGUAGCAGUGAAAUGCGUAGAGAUCGGAAGGAACAUCUGUGGCGAAGGCGACUAUCUGGGCCAACACUGACACUGAGGCACGAAAGCGUGGGGAGCAAACAGGAUUAGAUACCCCAGUAGUCCCUGUCUCUUAUAC
RNAcentral lists this ribosomal RNA (301 nucleotides) under uncultured bacterium. Its description in RNAcentral is "partial 16S ribosomal RNA". It matches the Rfam family "Bacterial small subunit ribosomal RNA", at positions 509 to 807 of the family's 1533-position model. The record is from RNAcentral.